Molecule: long non-coding RNA, 1617 nt
Organism: Spinacia oleracea (spinach)
Lineage: Eukaryota; Viridiplantae; Streptophyta; Magnoliopsida; Caryophyllales; Amaranthaceae
Exons: 2
Source: RefSeq, a predicted model, not a curated record
AAAAGUUAAGCUUAUAUAUAUAUAUAAGUUAUCUAUUUUUUAGUGAAUUUUUUUUCCAUUUUAAUAAAAUUUAUUUCUUCAAAAUCACUAACAAUAUAUAAAAUUAUUCAUUUAACCCUUUAAAAUAUUUAUCUAUCAACUUUUUUUUACUAAUAUAAAAGUUAAUCAAAACUAGGUUAAAGUUACUAAAAAUGAGUAAAGUUAUGUUGGUGUAAAAUAAAUUUAUUGUACACCUUGUGCGCGCAAGACCUUUUGUUACUGCAUUGGCUAGAUUAAACAUGGAUUUGUUGAAUAGCCCAUUAUUUAAACGACGAAUUGGACCAAAUUUUAUCAAAUUGAAGCUAGAAACCCGAUUUACACCCCCAUAGAAAUCAUUUUAUGCAAUAUUAUUACUUACUAUGCCCGGGCUCACUUGCCCGAAAGAGAAAUCCAGGUGUUCGGUGAAAUUCCUGAUUAUCGGUGUCCAAGAACGCUGAAAUCCUUGAAUACUUUGUUAAAUGGGCUUUUGAUUUGCUGGGAAUAUGAUAAAUUGGAAAGGGUUUUUGUUUUUCUUCCCCAAAUGUUAGUAAAUGAUUAAUGAUUAUAAGGAGAGGAAUGAUUUGAGGGGUGCAUGGAAGGUGUAUGAUGAAAUUCUUGAGAGGAGGGUUCAUCCGAAUGAGGUAACUUUUUCAACGUUGAUUACUGGACUUUUUAAGAGUUUGAAGGUGAAGGAAGCUCUUAAUUUGAAGAAAGAUAUUAUGGGGGUUUAAUUGAAAGAGGGUUUAAUUUGCAAAAGUUGCUGGUAUAAAUGGAUCAAUAGUUUGUUUAAUUGUUGCUUGUCUUGACAAUAUAGUAUAUUUGUACAGUUAUUGAUUUGUUUGUGAUCUUAUACGGAUGUGAAUCUUCGUCAAGACUCUUACCGGAAAAACCACCACUCUCGAAUUUGAGAGUUCUGACACUAUCGACAAUGUUAAUUGCAGGGCUACUGGCUUUAAACAGGCUAAUUAAAUUUGCAAUAAGUUGGGAUCAUAAGUUUAUCAGUUAUGUGUAUUCUUCUUACCCCCCCUCUCAUCUCCGUAUUAACAAGUUGGUCCUUGUCACUCUUAUGCAUCAGCUUCCAAAGAAAUUUAGGGUGCAUAAUCCUCAUAAUAGCAUUAGUGCAGCCUUUGCAUUUGCUAUUAUUUCCUUCUGAUUUUGGGAGAUGUUUAGCCAAUGGCCAACCUUCAAUGUCUCUUUCUUUCCUUUCAAAUGGGAGGGUUAAUACUUAUCCAAAUUAAGUGAAUUUAGUGGCUGCAGCUUUUUUUAUUCCUGGUUUGAUUAUCUGGCUUCAGGUAAGUCGGAUCACUAUAUCGAGUACCAUAUGUUGCCAAUGGAUGUUGAUGUGAGAAAUUUACCAGCUCUGGUUUCUAAUAGGCUUUCAUCUAACUGGGCUGCUACUUGAAGAUGAUCAAGCUAGCUUGUGGAACAUGUCCGAGAGAGAAGCUCUUUCAAUUUAUGUCUAUAGAAUGAUGAAUGUAUCUAAGUACAUUUUUCUAUGUCAUAAGAAUUUUCUCAUGCGAUUAUAACACAAGUAACAAACAAAAUAACCGACUUUUUUUGUUCAACUAUUUUCAUAUACUAAUAUGCUCGGGAUUUGCA